GGGGGUGAUACAGGUUUCGACGGGGUAUUGAAGAAGUCGAGUGCAAGCAGGUUAGAUACGACCUUAACAGUUCAAAAACAAUAGUUGCAAAUAACAACAACCAUUUCGACGUCGCUCUAGCAGCGUAAUCGGGAGGCCGCUCAAAGCCUUCUAUCCAAUUUGAGCAAAACAACAGAUAAGUUGUAAAAAUCAAACCAUUUAAUGCAACAGGGCGGUAAGCAUUAGAUUAUUGCCGUCUAUCUUUGUCGGUAAGUGAUAGAAACCGACUACGCUUGUGAAUGACUUAAUUUUGGACGUAUUGCGGACGCGGGUUCGACUCCCGCCACCUCCACCA
RNAcentral lists this transfer-messenger RNA (334 nucleotides) under Flavobacteriales. RNAcentral describes it as "UBA974 sp012963975 Standard tmRNA". It matches the Rfam family "transfer-messenger RNA". Rfam says of the family: Bacterial tmRNA, also known as 10Sa RNA or SsrA, is named for its dual tRNA and mRNA-like properties. Its role is to liberate the mRNA from a stalled ribosome. RNAcentral also lists the same sequence under 1 other name. Lineage: Bacteria; Pseudomonadati; Bacteroidota; Flavobacteriia. The record is from RNAcentral.